RNAcentral lists this microRNA precursor (72 nucleotides) under Mus spretus (western wild mouse). RNAcentral describes it as "predicted gene, 55269 (ENSMSPG00010014946.1)". The record is from RNAcentral. Lineage: Eukaryota; Metazoa; Chordata; Mammalia; Rodentia; Muridae.
UGUGUGUACAUGUAUAUGUGUGUGUACAUGUAUAUGUGUGUGUGUACAUGUAUAUGUGUAUACAUGCAUAGA